This 580-nucleotide long non-coding RNA is filed under the name Hordeum vulgare. Its description in RNAcentral is "long non-coding RNA (HVUL_LNC013089)". The record is from RNAcentral. Lineage: Eukaryota; Viridiplantae; Streptophyta; Magnoliopsida; Poales; Poaceae.
UGGAUUGCACUUGUUGCAUGCUUGCGCCAAGUUAGUUAACAUUCGUCUGGUGCUUUCUUAAUUUGGUUUCGAAAGUUAAUGUGAAAUAAAAUCGAAUAUCUCCGUUGUUUCUCUAGAAACCAGCUGGUGAGCUCUUGUUGAUGGAGUUGACUACAAAUGCAAUGCAGUCAGUGGUAGCCUCCUUUUAUAUAUGUCUCUCUGAUGAAAUAUAUGUGCAUGAUGCAUGCAUGCUUGGAAACCAUUGGAAAAAGAGCAUUCAACUAAUAAUAUAUGAACCAAAUGAUUCAAGGUACGUAGUGCACUUAAUUUGUUGUUGGUUUGUGAAUCUGUACGUGUAGGUUUUUCAGAGGGCGAAGCCCGUCAUCAUCGAUCGUUCAUCGACYCGKRGCUCUACAUGCAGGCAGAUUCUGGUUGAUCCAUUGGACCUGAGCUCAUGUUAGUCUGGUAGUUUGACUAUAUAUUUACAUAUUCUAGCGCUAGCAUGGAAAUGAAUCUAGGAUUUUCCAUGCAUCCGGUUGGCUCCUGCUAAUUCCUGUUUUGCCAAUUGAAGGAAUUUGAUAUUACAAGUUUAUUAGUGGAU